GAAUCCGCYAAGGAGUGUGUAACAACUCACCUGCCGAAUGAAUUAGCCCUGAAAAUGGAUGGCGCUGAAGCGGGUGGCCGAGACCACGCCGUCUGAGAGAUGAAACGAAAUGAAUCGGAUGAGUAGGGGGACGUGGCGGUUGUGUGGAAGCGUGCGUGCGAACGUGCGUGGAACGGCCGCUAGUGCAGAUCUUGGUGUCAGUAGCAAAUAUUCAAACGGGAACCUUGAAGGGCGAAGCGGGGAAGGGUUCCACGCGAACAUUGAUUGAGCGUGGGUGAGUCGUUCCUAAGCCGCGCGGUAAUGGCGAAUUGACGGGCGCGAAAGGGAAGCAGGUUGAGAAUCCUGCACACGGAUGUGGAGGCGGUGACGCAUCACUGGGGCGAUAACGCUGGCGGUGGCACUGGGCAGAGAUGUCUUUUCUGUUUAACUAGCUAGGCGCGCUGUGUGGAAUCCGCUUGUCGGGAGAAACACGCGUGACCGGGGCAGAGCGCCGGGGGGGAAUCCGGCGUCCAGGUAGCCAUCGACGGACCUUGAAACAUUGCUUGCUGGCAAUUGGAGUCUCUCUCGGGGGACGCCUUUUGUAUGUGAAAAAUCCACGCCGUGACGUACCGAUGUCCGCAUCAGGUCCCCAAGGUGAACAGCCUCUGCUCGAUAUGAACAAUGCAGGUAAGGGAAGUCGGCA
This 682-nucleotide ribosomal RNA is filed under the name Rhodolachne decussata. Its description in RNAcentral is "eukaryotic LSU rRNA". It matches the Rfam family "Eukaryotic large subunit ribosomal RNA", at positions 1264 to 1920 of the family's 3401-position model. The record is from RNAcentral. Lineage: Eukaryota; Rhodophyta; Florideophyceae; Ceramiales; Rhodomelaceae.